UAUCUGGUUGAUCCUGCCAGUAGUCAUAUGCUUGUCUCAAAGAUUAAGCCAUGCAUGUCUAAGUAUAAGCAAUUUAUACAGUGAAACUGCGAAUGGCUCAUUAAAUCAGUUAUCGUUUAUUUGAUAGUACCUUACUACUUGGAUAACCGUGGUAAUUCUAGAGCUAAUACAUGCUAAAAAUCCCGACUUUUUGGAAGGGAUGUAUUUAUUAGAUAAAAGACCAAUGCUUCUUCGGAAGCUCUUUGGUGAUUCAUGAUAACUUUUCGAAUCGCAUGGCCUCGAGCCGGCGAUGGUUCAUUCAAAUUUCUGCCCUAUCAACUUUCGAUGGUAGGAUAGUGGCCUACCAUGGUUUCAACGGGUAACGGGGAAUUAGGGUUCGAUUCCGGAGAGGGAGCCUGAGAAACGGCUACCACAUCCAAGGAAGGCAGCAGGCACGCAAAUUACCCAAUCCCGACACGGGGAGGUAGUGACAAUAAAUAACAAUACAGGGCUUUUUAUGGUCUUGUGAUUGGAAUGAGUACAAUUUAAAUACCUUAACGAGGAACAAUUGGAGGGCAAGUCUGGUGAAAUGCUGACGCCAGAGAUAGUGGGGUCCUUGGCAUCCACUGGCUAAGGAUUAGGCCCGCUAGUCGAGUGUUCACUAAAUAGUGGGCGAACACCGGCGAGGUAACCUGGAACGGGGAAGCCUAAGUUGCGUAAAGUAAUAUGGUGAUCCCGUGGCGAGUCGCUAAGACCGUCGUAACGCGCGGAAAGGUACCGGCUAGUUAACUAGCUCAAGGGACGUGCUAUUCCCACUCGAAAGAGUGUUUUCAACUGAAGCGCCCAUUACGCAAAAGUUGAGAAGAGUAUUUGCUCGGUAGUGAAAGGCCAGCAGCCGCGGUAAUUCCAGCUCCAAUAGCGUAUAUUAAAGUUGUUGCAGUUAAAAAGCUCGUAGUUGAACCUUGGGCUUGGUCGGCCGGUCCGCCUCAUUGGUGUGCACUGACCCGACCGAGCCUUUCCUUCUGGAUCACUAUAGUGCUUUUUAUUAAGUGCUAUAGGGAGCCAGGACUUUUACUUUGAAAAAAUUAGAGUGUUCAAAGCAGGCAUACGCUCGAAUAUAUUAGCAUGGAAUAAUAGAAUAGGACGUACGGUUCUAUUUUGUUGGUUCUCUAGGACCGUCGUAAUGAUUAAUAGGGACAGUCGGGGGCAUCAGUAUUCAAUUGUCAGAGGUGAAAUUCUUGGAUUUAUUGAAGACUAACUACUGCGAAAGCAUUUGCCAAGGAUGUUUUCAUUAAUCAAGAACGAAAGUUAGGGGAUCGAAGACGAUUUGAAAUUACGUAUGCGAGAGCAUGCGGUUAUCUGGUCGUCAACAGUGACCUGAAAGGGGAAGCUAGUCUUGACAAAGAUCAAGG
Molecule: non-coding RNA, 1391 nt
Filed under: Lipomyces starkeyi NRRL Y-11557
Lineage: Eukaryota; Fungi; Ascomycota; Lipomycetes; Lipomycetales; Lipomycetaceae
Description: Eukaryotic small subunit ribosomal RNA
Rfam family: Eukaryotic small subunit ribosomal RNA
Source: Rfam by way of RNAcentral